This 64-nucleotide transfer RNA is filed under the name Oecetis caucula. Its description in RNAcentral is "tRNA-Lys". Lineage: Eukaryota; Metazoa; Arthropoda; Insecta; Trichoptera; Leptoceridae. The record is from RNAcentral.
CAUUAAAUAUCUUAAAUUAAAGUUUUGGUCUUUUAAACCAAAUAUAGUAAAUUACUUUUAAUGA